Molecule: ribosomal RNA, 188 nt
Filed under: uncultured rumen bacterium
Lineage: Bacteria
Description: partial 16S ribosomal RNA
Rfam family: Bacterial small subunit ribosomal RNA
Source: RNAcentral
UACGGGAGGCAGCAGUGAGGAAUAUUGGUCANCCCUUUGGAAGCCUGAACCAGCCAAGUAGCGUGAAGGAAGACUGCCCUACGGGUUGUAAACUUCUUUUAUCCGGGAAUAAAGUGCGCCACGCGUGGCGUUUUGUAUGUACCGGAUGAAUAAGCAUCGGCUAAUUCCGUGCCAGCAGCCGCGGUAAU